Molecule: long non-coding RNA, 3023 nt
Filed under: Bemisia tabaci
Lineage: Eukaryota; Metazoa; Arthropoda; Insecta; Hemiptera; Aleyrodidae
Description: lncRNA ENSSWEETPG000503
Source: RNAcentral
AUGGGUAUCUUGUGGCAAGAUGGUGCACCGGUUGCAAGUAUUUGGUAUGAGUCACCGAAAAUCAAGGUUGACGGAGACUCAGUAUCCACGGCUGUCGAGAUGUACGGACCAACGCUGAGGUUUUAUGGCCACACACAUCCCCCAAAAUAUCACCAAUCGAAAUCAUUCCGAGAUAGAAUGGAUCCGUUCUUGUAUUCUUAGUGAACAAGUGUCCAAAUCUCACCACAUUAAUAAUUCGAGAACGCAUAUCGACAGCGACAGUGCUGCUGCUGGCAAGUUACGGGAAGAAACUUAAAAACUUGUACAUUCGUCGAAAACGCUGUGAUACUCCGCAACGACUGGCCCAAAAACUCCGAUUGGCCCGAGGGAUUCAGCAUUUGGUUGAAGAAAUCGUGUCGUUCUUACGAAAUAACGGAACAAGAAGUGUCUCAAAUACUCGGCUUCCGGUGGCAGAUGUUGUCCGACAAAGAGUUCAAUAAGAUCUCUCCCAGCGUGCACAACCUGUAAAGAGGUUUACUGAGAAAUAAAAUUCGGUCAUAAUAUCCGUAGUACCGCGUCCUACAUCGACCGUAGUAUUCGGUCCGUUGUUGUAUUGCGAUUUAUGCGACCUUAAUCGUGUGAACAUUUUUGAGAAAUUUGUGGGUUUUGGUGCUGAUUUCCACCUCUGGACGACUUUUUCGUCUCUCGGUGCGGCUCGAAUUGAAUAAUUCUAAUUUUGGAUUUCAUGACAAUUGGACGUAUUUCUUUCAAACGGAACAAUGUGCAUUAAGACAUGAGCUUUGAGACCCAUAAGAAUAUAUGCAUAACAGGGCUCACGUCAUGGUGCAGAUAAUUCCGUUUGGCAGAAAUACGUCCAAUUUAUCAUUUAAUACUCUCGGAAUGAGUCUAACAGAAACCAACCAAGUUUUUGAAGGAAGCAAGAGGUUUUCUGGUUGGAAUGGGUCAGUUGCGCUGGUCAGAGAAUUGCGCUUUAAUGCUUGAUUCUUGAAGAUUAGCUAAAAAUAAUAAAGUCUGUCCGAACAGCAACUUUCUACGUCCAAUAUUAACCGAGAAAUCGCGCUUUGAAAAAUUCGAUUUAUAACGUCAUCAAUGCACCGUGGGAGUGACACCUUUGGUUUCUUCAGCCUUGCUUUCAUCAAUCAGGGUGAAAUACAUUAUAGCACUGGUUACUCAACGAGAAACUCGCAUGAAAGCCAGGUAUAAGAAAACAAAGGGAUGACGAGGAAUGACGUCCAGGGCCGGAUUAAGGGGGUGGCCACAUGGGCCGCGGCCCAUGGCGGCAAAUCUAGGGGGCGGCAAAUUCUGCAAUUUUUUUAAAUGUAGGUAUAAAAAAAAUCGGAUUUAGAAAAAGAAAUUACAAGCGAAAAAAGGCGACAAGAUCUCUCAUUUCCUGAGAGUAUAGUAAUUUCUAAUUUAGUCCGUCUUUCAGUGAUACAAGUGACAGCACCUUUAAUUAGUCGAGUUAAGAGAGAAACCAAACACGCAAUUUGGCCUGGAACGGCGCGACUUGGAGAGAAAUGAUGACGAGGACUUGAGAUGAAAAGGAGAAGCCUCGGCGCGGCGAUCGAUCGGCAUGUAACACAUAUUAGCGCCUACAAGACUGCACGAAUACUUCACGCAUUGCAUCAAACACAGUGCGGUCACUGCGGUCAGCGUGAAACGGACGGCGACUGCAAGAGUGCAUGAAUACUUCACGCAUUACGCCAAACACGGUGCGGUCUGCCUGAGCGGCGCGGCGGAAGUUAAAAUCAUUAAAUCACAUUUAUGUUUGUUCUUUCAUAAUUUUUUCGUUCAUUUCUAAUGAAUCGAAGGCCUUGUCCACAAAGAGAUAGGUUUACGAAACUUAAAUUUCGCGCGAAGUAUUCCGUGAACUUUUGCUAGUAGUGUUGACACGGCUUUCCCAAAAAAUUUAUCCAACACGAGUAAACGCGUCUUAUGCACCCCUCCCCCUCUGGAAUGUUCACUUGAUGGUUUUUAUUGAUGUUUCAAAACGAAUGAGAAGGGGGCGGCAAAAUACAGGCGGCCCAUGGGCGGCAAGUAGGUAAAUCCGGCCCUGAUGACGUCAAAACCCCAACUUUUCAAAGGGUGAUAAUGUGGAAAGUUGCUGUUUGAAGAGAUUUUAUUAUUUUAGUUGAUCUUUAAAAAGCAAGCAUCAAUCACAAUUCUGAGACCAGUGCAACUGACCCAUUAUAUAGAAGGAUUUCAUGAAAAUUCUGAGUUUUUGCUUUGACAAUAAAGUGCGGUAUCAUCAGAUCCAAACAGUAAAUCAAUGAAGCUGGAAAAAUAGAAAAAAAUAAAUAACAGAAGAAAAUAAAAAAAAUCGCCGUCAUGCCGCAGAAAAGGAACAACUUCUGAAAUUUUACCAGCCAUAGGUAAAUGUUUUGACUUUUGCUUAAUCAAAAGCAGACCCCAUAGGUAUCCAUCAUAAAAAUGGUACACCAAAUGCUAAGUGAUUUAUCAAACAUUUCUCAAGUUCCCAUGCCGAGUAUUGCUAUCGCACUGCGAUUGCAAACCAGCUUGUUUUCAUUAGAAAAAGUUUGAUGUUAAUCAACUACAGCACAUUAUUUUCAAACACAAACUGAUGUUUGUCGCAAGGAUUUUUUUUAGUGUUUUGCAGACUUUACAUGGUUCGGCUCGGUAGUUAAUUUGUUUGCAGAAGAACCGACGACUGAAAUUGAAUUCACAGAGAAGAAAUAAAUCUGCAGUUGUUUAAAUUGCAGAUUUAUUGGAACGGCUGAAACUGUAUUCCAAGGAAGGAACUAAGUCCAUCGGUCGUAUUGAAAAACCCGCAUACCACCUACCGGGCAUACUUUUAAUUCUGAAAAAUUCUAGGUAUUCCCGUCAAAUUCAGUAGAUUUUUUCUUGACAGUCGAAAGACCAUGAACACUUACUUUAGAAGACAAAACGAUUUGUGCAGUGUAUGCAAUAAAAUUUGUCCAGACAAUAAAUGCUGUUCUUGCAAGUUGGUCAAACUGUUUUUUGUCCAUUUAAACCCACUACAAUAAAUAUCGAUUCUGGGUGAG